This 1074-nucleotide ribosomal RNA is filed under the name Bacillus velezensis. RNAcentral describes it as "bacterial SSU rRNA". It matches the Rfam family "Bacterial small subunit ribosomal RNA", at positions 74 to 1139 of the family's 1533-position model. Lineage: Bacteria; Bacillati; Bacillota; Bacilli; Caryophanales; Bacillaceae. The record is from RNAcentral.
GGGAGCUUGCCCCCUGAAGUAAGCGGCGGACGGUUGAAUAACACGUGAGUAACCUGCCUGUAAGACUGGGAUAACUCCGGGAAACCGGGGCUAAUACCGGAUGGUUGUUUGAACCGCAGGUUCAGACAUAAAAGGUGGCUUCGGCUACCACUUACAGAUGGACCCGCGGCGCAUAGCUAGUUGGUGAGGUAACGGCUCACCAAGGCAACGAUGCGUAGCCGACCUGAGAGGGUGAUCGGCCACACUGGGACUGAGACACGGCCCAGACUCCUACGGGAGGCAGCAGUAGGGAAUCUUCCGCAAUGGACGAAAGUCUGACGGAGCAACGCCGCGUGAGUGAUGAAGGUUUUCGGAUCGUAAAGCUCUGUUGUUAGGGAAGAACAAGUGCCGUUCAAAUAGGGCGGCACCUUGACGGUACCUAACCAGAAAGCCACGGCUAACUACGUGCCAGCAGCCGCGGUAAUACGUAGGUGGCAAGCGUUGUCCGGAAUUAUUGGGCGUAAAGGGCUCGCAGGCGGUUUCUUAAGUCUGAUGUGAAAGCCCCCGGCUCAACCGGGGAGGGUCAUUGGAAACUGGGGAACUUGAGUGCAGAAGAGGAGAGUGGAAUUCCACGUGUAGCGGUGAAAUGCGUAGAGAUGUGGAGGAACACCAGUGGCGAAGGCGACUCUCUGGUCUGUAACUGACGCUGAGGAGCGAAAGCGUGGGGAGCGAACAGGAUUAGAUACCCUGGUAGUCCACGCCGUAAACGAUGAGUGCUAAGUGUUAGGGGUUUCCGCCCCUUAGUGCUGCAGCUAACGCAUUAAGCACUCCGCCUGGGGGAGUACGGUCGCAAGACUGAAACUCAAGGAAUUGACGGGGGCCCGCACAAGCGGUGGAGCAUGGUGGUUUAAUUCGAAGCAACGCGAAGAACCUACCAGUCUGGACAUCUCUGACAUCCUAGAAGAAUAGACGUCCCCUUCGGGGGCAGAGUGACAGGUGGGUGCCAUGGGUGUCGUCAGCUCAUGUCGUGGAAAGUUUGGGGUAAGUCCGCCACGACGCACCCUUGAUCUUAGUGGCAGCAAUCAGUGGGGCACU